AUUGAACGCUGGCGGCAGGCCUAACACAUGCAAGUCGAGCGGAUGAAGGGAGCUUGCUCCUGGAUUCAGCGGCGGACGGGUGAGUAAUGCCUAGGAAUCUGCCUGGUAGUGGGGGAUAACGUCCGGAAACGGGCGCUAAUACCGCAUACGUCCUGAGGGAGAAAGUGGGGGAUCUUCGGACCUCACGCUAUCAGAUGAGCCUAGGUCGGAUUAGCUAGUUGGUGGGGUAAAGGCCUACCAAGGCGACGAUCCGUAACUGGUCUGAGAGGAUGAUCAGUCGCACUGGAACUGAGACACUGUCCAGACUCCUACGGGAGGCAGCAGUGGGGAAUAUUGGACAAUGGGCGAAAGCCUGAUCCAGCCAUGCCGCGUGUGUGAAGAAGGUCUUCGGAUUGUAAAGCACUUUAAGUUGGGAGGAAGGGCAGUAAGUUAAUACCUUGCUGUUUUGACGUUACCAACAGAAUAAGCACCGGCUAACUUCGUG
This 484-nucleotide ribosomal RNA is filed under the name uncultured bacterium. RNAcentral's name for it is "partial 16S ribosomal RNA". It matches the Rfam family "Bacterial small subunit ribosomal RNA", at positions 30 to 507 of the family's 1533-position model. The record is from RNAcentral.